AGGACGAACGCUGGCGGCGUGCUUAACACAUGCAAGUCGAGCGGAAAGGCCCUUCGGGGUACUCGAGCGGCGAACGGGUGAGUAACACGUGAGCAAUCUGCCCUUAGCUUCGGGAUAGCUCCGGGAAACCGGAAUUAAUACCGGAUAUGACUAUGGCUGACAUCAGCCACGGUGGAAAGUUUUUCGGCUAGGGAUGAGCUCGCGGCCUAUCAGCUAGUUGGUGGGGUAACGGCCUACCAAGGCGACGACGGGUAGCCGGCCUGAGAGGGCGACCGGCCACACUGGGACUGAGACACGGCCCAGACUCCUACGGGAGGCAGCAGUGGGGAAUAUUGCGCAAUGGGCGAAAGCCUGACGCAGCGACGCCGCGUGAGGGAAGAAGGCCUUCGGGUUGUAACCUCUUUCAGGAGGGACGAAGCCACUCGGGUUAAUAGCCCAGAGGGUGACGGUACCUCCGAGAACGAAGCCCCGGCUAACUACGUGCCAGCAGCCGC
Molecule: ribosomal RNA, 494 nt
Filed under: uncultured bacterium
Lineage: Bacteria
Description: SSU rRNA
Rfam family: Bacterial small subunit ribosomal RNA
Source: RNAcentral